RNAcentral lists this ribosomal RNA (662 nucleotides) under uncultured bacterium. RNAcentral's name for it is "bacterial SSU rRNA". It matches the Rfam family "Bacterial small subunit ribosomal RNA", at positions 148 to 827 of the family's 1533-position model. The record is from RNAcentral.
CCGAGGAAACUCGGAUUAAUACCGGAUAUUCUUAUUUAAUCACAUGAUUUUUUAAGGAAAGGUCAGCCGAACUAAGAUGGGCUCGCGUUCUAUCAGCUAGUUGGUAGGGUAAUGGCCUACCAAGGCUACGACGGAUAGCUGGUCUGAGAGGACGAUCAGCCACACUGGGACUGAGACACGGCCCAGACUCCUACGGGAGGCUGCAGCAGGGAAUAUUGCGCAAUGAGCGAAAGCUUGACGCAGCGACACCGCGUGUGGGAUGACGGAUCUAGGUUUGUAAACCACUUUCAGGAGGGAAGAAAAUGACGGUACCUCCACAAGAAGCCCCGGCCAACUACGUGCCAGCAGCCGCGGUAAUACGUAGGGGGCGAGCGUUGUCCGGAUUUAUUGGGCGUAAAGAGCUCGUAGGCGGUUCAACAAGUCGGUCGUGAAAGUUCAGGGCUCAACCCUGAAAUGCCGAUCGAUACUGUUGUGACUAGGAUACGGUAGAGGUGAGUGGAAUUCCGAGUGUAGCGGUGAAAUGCGUAGAUAUUCGGAGGAACACCAAUUGCGAAGGCAGCUCACUGGGCCGCUAUCGACGCUGAGGAGCGAAAGCUAGGGGAGCAAACAGGAUUAGAUACCCUGGUAGUCCUAGCUGUAAACGAUGGAUACUAGACGUAGGA